CCUCAAUAACUUCAAGCAAAGACUGGGGGUCAGCCUGAUGAACCAAACUACUCAGUAAUCUCCUCCAUGAAGACUGGAGGUCAGCCUGAUGAACUAAACUACUCAGUAAUCUCCUCCAUGAAGACUGGGGGUCAGCCUGAUGAACCAAACUACUCAGUAAUCUCCUCCAUGAAGACUGGGGGUCAGCCUGAUGAACCAAACUACUCAGUAAUCUCCUCCAUGAAGACUGGGGGUCAGCCUGAUGAACCAAACUACUCAGUAAUCUCCUCCAUGAAGACUGGGGGUCAGCCUGAACCAAACUACUCAGUAAUCUCCUCCAUGAAGACUGGGGGGUCAGCCUGAUGAACCAAACUACUCAGUAAUCUCCUCCAUGAAGACUGGGGGUCAGCCUGAACCAAACUACUCAGUAAUCUCCUCCAUGAAGACUGGGGGGUCAGCCG
RNAcentral lists this long non-coding RNA (440 nucleotides) under Salmo salar (Atlantic salmon). Its description in RNAcentral is "lncRNA (ENSSSAG00000091236.1)". The record is from RNAcentral. Lineage: Eukaryota; Metazoa; Chordata; Actinopteri; Salmoniformes; Salmonidae.